Molecule: ribosomal RNA, 492 nt
Filed under: uncultured bacterium
Lineage: Bacteria
Description: partial 16S ribosomal RNA
Rfam family: Bacterial small subunit ribosomal RNA
Source: RNAcentral
AGUGAACGCUGGCGGUAGGCCUAACACAUGCAAGUCGAACGGCAGCACAGUAAGAGCUUGCUCUUACGGGUGGCGAGUGGCGGACGGGUGAGGAAUACAUCGGAAUCUACUUUUUCGUGGGGGAUAACGUAGGGAAACUUACGCUAAUACCGCAUACGACCUACGGGUGAAAGCAGGGGAUCUUCGGACCUUGCGCGAUUGAAUGAGCCGAUGUCGGAUUAGCUAGUUGGCGGGGUAAAGGCCCACCAAGGCGACGAUCCGUAGCUGGUCUGAGAGGAUGAUCAGCCACACUGGAACUGAGACACGGUCCAGACUCCUACGGGAGGCAGCAGUGGGGAAUAUUGGACAAUGGGCGCAAGCCUGAUCCAGCCAUACCGCGUGGGUGAAGAAGGCCCUCGGGUUGCAAAGCCCUUUUGUUGGGAAAGAAAAGCAGCAGGUUAAUACCCCGCUGUUCUGACGGUACCCAAAGAAUAAGCACCGGCUAACUUCGUG